Molecule: ribosomal RNA, 400 nt
Filed under: phytoplankton environmental sample
Lineage: Eukaryota
Description: partial small subunit ribosomal RNA
Rfam family: Eukaryotic small subunit ribosomal RNA
Source: RNAcentral
AGCUCCAAUAGCGUAUAUUAAAGUUGUUGCAGUUAAAAAGCUCGUAGUUGGAUUUCGGGGCGGCCUGUCUGGUCCGUCGCGAGACGAGUACUGGUCAGCCGCCCUUCCUCUCGAAAGCCCCGACUGCUCUUAACUGCAGUGGUCGGGUAGUUCGGGACGUUUACUUUGAAAAAAUUAGAGUGUUCAAAGCAGGCUUCAUCAAGCCCGGAUACAUGAGCAUGGAAUAAUGGAAUAGGACCGCGGUUCUAUUUUGUUGGUUUCUACGACCGCAGUAAUGAUUAAGAGGGACAAUUGGGGGCGUCCGUAUUUCGUUGUCAGAGGUGAAAUUCUUGGAUUUACGAAAGACGAACAACUGCGAAAGCAUUCGCCAAGAGUGUUUUCAUUAAUCAAGAACGAAAGU